UGGGGAAUAUUGCACAAUGGGCGCAAGCCUGAUGCAGCCAUGCCGCGUGUGUGAAGAAGGCCUUCGGGUUGUAAAGCACUUUCAGCGAGGAGGAAGGUGGUGAGCUUAAUACGCUCAUCAAUUGACGUUACUCGCAGAAGAAGCACCGGCUAACUCCGUGCCAGCAGCCGCGGUAAUACGGAGGGUGCAAGCGUUAAUCGGAAUUACUGGGCGUAAAGCGCACGCAGGCGGUUUGUUAAGUCAGAUGUGAAAUCCCCGGGCUCAACCUGGGAACUGCAUUUGAAACUGGCAAGCUAGAGUCUCGUAGAGGGGGGUAGAAUUCCAGGUGUAGCGGUGAAAUGCGUAGAGAUCUGGAGGAAUACCGGUGGCGAAGGCGGCCCCCUGGACGAAGACUGACGCUCAGGUGCGAAAGCGUGGGGCAGCAAACAGGAUUAGAUACCCUGGUAGUCCACGCUGUAAACGAUGUCGAUUUUGGAGGUUGUGCCCUUGAGGCGUGGCUUCCGGAGCUAACGCGUUAAAUCGACCGCCUGGGGAGUACGGCCGCAAGGUUAAAACUCAAAGGAAUUGACGGGGUC
This 575-nucleotide ribosomal RNA is filed under the name uncultured bacterium. RNAcentral describes it as "partial 16S ribosomal RNA". It matches the Rfam family "Bacterial small subunit ribosomal RNA", at positions 355 to 920 of the family's 1533-position model. The record is from RNAcentral.